UCGUAUUAUACGCGUGUAUCGUCUCUUGCCAAGUCACGUGCCGACUACUAUACCUUUAGUAGUACAAUGUCAUUUGUUUUCAUUGCCCUUUUACCAGUACAUGUUAGUGUUUACAUAUUUGUGUUUACACGGAAGUUCGAUGUUGUUAAUAACGUGGUUAAGGGUGGGUCGCUGUACGCCGGCUGUGGGUCCGGAGCGCCGGGGUAGGCGGGGAAGGUACCCGGGCUGCCAGCGCCUUCCACUUCGUAUGCGGGAGCGAAGGCCGCGUCAGCGCCCAUACGGAAGCGUUGGAAUGCGAAGAACGCACACGCUACCUGUUUAUAUUAUAUAGACAUUUCGUAUACAUUACACAAAUAUUUAGUUAUAUUCUAUGACUCUUUGGUUGGCAACAUUGAACUCACCCAAGCAAAAAUCGAGAAGAAACAGAACGCGAUGGCUCCCUGCAUGUUGUUGGCUGUACCCAUCGGCGGGUUCUCGGUCUUACCCCAGGCGUUGGACAAAUAACAGAAGCCCACGAAAUAUAAAAACGCCCAGAACGCUGCGAAACGAGACAAAACAGAAUACAUCUAAUUAUAUCACAUAAAAAAAACGGUUACAUAAGUAUUCAUCUAAUACGUUACUUGACACGUAAAUUAUUCUGCUUGUUUAAUUAUAAUAGCUUUACUAUAGGGCCAAGAAACUAUCGAUAUAAUGUUUCGAAAAUUUAUAGAAGCAAUUAUAAUAUCAAUUUCCACCUACAAUAUCUGGCAACUUCGGCUAUUAAGAUAUAAACAUUUGUAAGGACCAAUAAAAGCAAAAUUACAAUAUUGAGAAUGGCAACACCGGGACUUUUCAGACGGUCGUUACUUUUAACGCGUCUCAGUUUAACGACAGACACUUGCGUUAUAACGUAGGACUAUAAAUAUUUUACUUUCAUGUAUCGUUUGUAUAAUAAGUGUCAUUUAAAUUGUAUUGAUCUCGGAGCUUUCUUUCUGUAGCCUCAACAGUGACAAAGUAUGUUUUAAAAUGGAACAAAAUCUACUUUAAUUUUACACUUAGUCAGAUGUUUUCUCUGAACUGAUAACUAAAAGUAAAAUGUUCUUUUUAAUAACACAUUCUGUGUUCGCACAGUUUUACUGUGACUUUUAAACAAUGAAAGCUUUAGUUUGAUGGGAAUGUUAUAUUUUCAACAAACGAAUGCACAUCUACAACUUCAAGAGGAUGUUUGAAAUCGGUCAGGGCCGGCGUGAGACAUUGAAUUUUCAAAUGAUAUUUCUACCGAUGUAUUCCUUAACAUUCCAUGUUUCCAAUUUCGAUAUUUUGUACAAAAAAUACAUUAGAAUGUCGUUCAAAUCUAAAUUUCUUCUUCAUAUAAAGAGGACAAAUACAACAAAAAAAGAACACUUAAGGUUUAUUAUCGACUUUAUUACUACGACAAAGGUCAACUGAAUGCCGCCUCUCCCUAAAAUGGUGAUCGUGAAUAAAAUGCUAGUUUAAUACAUUUACUUUUUCUAGUAUAAAAUAUUAAACUUAAUAAUUUAAAGGUAAUUUUUAUUAUUAUAUUUAUCGAUACGAAUCAGUAUUGCCAUAACAGAAAAACAACGAUAGAAAUUUCAUCGAUAUCGCAAAAAAUGUGUGCAGUAUUCUUAAGUUCAAUUCUCAUAAGGUAUCCUAAGCUGUACAAAUGUAAACCUUUGAUCGAUAAAGUAGAUUGCAUAGGAAGAAAGAUGUGUACAUUUGAUGCAAAAUAUAUAUGAACUGGGUCAAUCGUAGGUUAGCAUCAGAGCGAGCCAGUGUCCAAAGAUAAUAUACGAUUUCAAAGGGAAAUAGGUUACCUAGCCUAAAAUAUAAAAAAAUGACUUCACCGAAUCUCUCAAUAAACUUGAUCGUGUUGAAAAGGUUACGCUAUCCAAAUAUAUUUCUUGAAUAUGUAGUUCGGAAUCGAAAAAUGAGUGAAAAAGUGUUUUAAAGUAAACACAAAUGUAAUUCUGUUUCGCAGUUAUACAGCUUCACUGCGCCAAUUGGUAUUAAACCCAGCAAAUAUUUAUUUAAACAUUCGUUCAUUAGUGUUUUGCUAAUGUCUCGCUUCUACCAUUACAAAAAUUAUUAUAACUGUCGUCUUUCUCGAUACAAAUAUACAUGUGUGUCAUGAACGAAAAAAUCGAAUCUUUGAUAAACAAAUUUUUACAUUGCACUGGUUUUCAACAAUACGUGAUUAAAAAAUGACUAUUCAAAGUCCAAUAGGAAAUGACGAAAGCAGUAAAUAUAAUAUCCUAUUGAAUUUCCUUUAUAGAAAACAAAACUAAUACAAAAAAUUAUUCAAUAUUCAUAAAAAGCAAUGGAUCCCAUUAAAUUAAUUCCAGGUGUCAAGUAGUAUGACCUGGCUUAAUUGGAAUUUUAUUAAAUUCUUCACACUAAAUACCUACUGAGAUUUUAUUACAGCAUUGUUUGAUUAACUCAUAUUAAAACAGAACGGUACAUAUUUAAAGAUAAACUUUAUUAGCUAUGAGAAAUGUUUAAAAUGUUACAUACACAAAACUUACCAGAAAAUCCCAUAUCAGCAAGAACAUAAUGUUUUCUUGUCUUCACGGAGGACAUUUGUUCAAACAAGUAUUCUCCCACAAUGAAAGCUAUAGAUGCAACAAAUGCUAUGACUGAGAUUCCGACUCCAUAAUUGCAAGCAUUUGUAUCAUCGUUGUAGACACAGUACUCUUUGCUGUCUGUUUUGCUGAUGUACCAGCCCUUGGCAGAUAUACAGCCCAUUACAAUCACACUGAACAGCUGGGAAGAAUUACUUAAUAUUAGUUUUAGUGUGGGGGUCGAUGGCUAUAAAUAAGGGAUUGAAUCAAAUAUGUUCCUUAUACAGAGUUGUAUAUUAUUUGAAAAAUUUGUAUUAAAAGAGGAUCCUGCCAAUAUUUGACACAUUCAAAUAUAUUUUGGAAAUGUAAUUAUAAUGCCUUAUUACUUGUGGAAAAUCUUUAAAUAAUUCCAAAAAUGUAGACUUCCUUGUGAAUGUUUAUUAAAUUAGAGAUGUUCAAUGUAAUGUAAGAAAAUUUCAGGUUUUUUUGAUUGACCUACAUAGCUAACAAAGGACAUACAAAAUUUUAGGAGUUUCAGUCUCAGUUGUAAAAGAAAAAUAUCUUUUUGUAUAUUAAUAAUGUGUAGCAAUAAUAUUUUAUUACUUGAAUGUUUCACUGUAAUAUAAUAAUUCUGGGAAACUAUCUCCUUCAUAUUGUGAUUAUUAAAAAUCCUUAUAAUCAUAUCUAUCAAAUAAAUGACAUUUAUUUUACUUAAAGAUGGUUAAGCCUUUAGCAAACAGCUCUGAGUUCUAUUGAUUUUGUAAACAUAAUUUACUCAACAAAUUAGAGAUGGCAAGGUCACUCACUCUAUAUGUACUAAUGUUUUGUGUGCUAGUUCGAUAAUUCACGUUAUUAAAUUAUGAAAACAUGCAAAAGGAUAUGAAGAAUCUGACUGAUCAAAAAAACGUCUAUUUUUUCUAUAUGACAUAACAUUGUUGGAAUAUUUGAAUAUGUAACAUACCCAACAAACGGAGCGAACAAUAACGGGAGGCUUUUGAACAAAAGCCUGAGGAUCGAAGGCUCCACCAGCUUUGCCACCACCAUAAGCACCAGCUGACUCCAUUUUACCACUUCUUGAAACACCUUCUGUAUUCACGGUUCAACCUAAGAGCCCAUCUAUGACUCUGACCUCGCAAACUCCGAAUAUCUCAAUAUAAGUUAUUGAUCGCGAACCGCGCAGCCCGCUCAAGUCAAAUUUGUAAGUGACAAACAAUACAGGCUAAAAAUGAGUUUGAUAAGAAUAAUAAUAGACUUGCAACACCA
Molecule: long non-coding RNA, 3821 nt
Organism: Danaus plexippus (monarch butterfly)
Lineage: Eukaryota; Metazoa; Arthropoda; Insecta; Lepidoptera; Nymphalidae
Exons: 2
Source: RefSeq, a predicted model, not a curated record